RNAcentral lists this ribosomal RNA (482 nucleotides) under uncultured bacterium. Its description in RNAcentral is "bacterial SSU rRNA". It matches the Rfam family "Bacterial small subunit ribosomal RNA", at positions 28 to 507 of the family's 1533-position model. The record is from RNAcentral.
GAUGAACGCUGGCGGCGUGCAUAACACAUUCAAGUCGAACGAAGCACUUUCGACGGAGACUUCGGUCAAAGUUGGAUUUGACUUAGUGGCGGACGGGUGAGUAACGCGUGGGUAACCUGCCGUAUACAGGGGGACAACAGUUGGAAACGACUGCUAAUACCGCAUAAGCGCACAGGACCGCAUGGUCCGGUGUGAAAAACUCCGGUGGUAUACGAUGGACCCGCGUCUGAUUAGAUAGUUGGUGAGGUAACGGCUCACCAAGUCUGCGAUCAGUAGCCGGUCUGAGAGGAUGAACGGCCACAUUGGGACUGAGAUACGGCCCAGACUCCUACGGGAGGCAGCAGUGGGGAAUAUUGGGCAAUGGGGGAAACCCUGACCCAGCAACGCCGCGUGAAGGAAGAAGGCCUUCGGGUUGUAAACUUCUUUUAGCAGGGACGAAGAACGUGACGGUACCUGCAGAAAAAGCAACGGCUAACUACGUG